UACAGAGGGUGCGAGCGUUAAUCGGAAUUACUGGGCGUAAAGCGUGCGUAGACGGCUAUCUAAGUCGGGUGUGAAAGCCCCGGGCUCAACCUGGGAAUUGCAUUCGAUACUGAGGAUCCCGAGUCCGGGAGAGGUGAGUGGAACUGCGAGUGUAGAGGUGAAAUUCGUAGAUAUUCGCAAGAACACCAGUGGCGAAGGCGGCUCACUGGCCCGGUACUGACGCUGAGGUGCGAAAGCGUGGGGAGCAAACAGG
This 253-nucleotide ribosomal RNA is filed under the name uncultured bacterium. RNAcentral describes it as "partial 16S ribosomal RNA". It matches the Rfam family "Bacterial small subunit ribosomal RNA", at positions 524 to 776 of the family's 1533-position model. The record is from RNAcentral.